This is a non-coding RNA of Piliocolobus tephrosceles (Ugandan red Colobus), 972 nucleotides long. The record is from the annotation of a RefSeq genome assembly. NCBI's taxonomy places the organism in Eukaryota, Metazoa, Chordata, Mammalia, Primates, Cercopithecidae.
ACUUUGCAGUGACAGAUCAGAACUGCUCAGUUCACCUUCUCAAGAUGAGGUUCCCUGCUCAGCUCUUGGGACUGUUAAUGCUCUGGGUCCCUGGAUCCAGUGGGGAUAUUGUGAUGACCCAGACUCCACUCUCCCUGCCAGUCACCCCUGGAGAGCCGGCCUCCAUCUCCUGCAGGUCUAGUCAGAGCCUCCUGCAUAGUGAUGGAAACACCUAUUUGUAUUGGUACCUGCAGAAGCCAGGGCAGCCUCCACGGCUCCUAAUCUAUAGAGUUUCAAACCGGUUCUCUGGAGUGCCAGACAGGUUCAGUGGCAGUGGAUCAGGCACAGAUUUCACGCUGAAAAUCAGCCGGGUGGAGGCUGAGGAUGUCGGGGUUUAUUACUGCAUGCAAGCUUUACAAACUCCGCUCACUUUCGGUGGAGGGACCAAGGUGGAGAUCAAACGAGCUGUGGCUGCACCAUCCGUCUUCAUCUUCCCGCCAUCUGAUGAACAGGUGAAAUCUGGAACUGUCUCUGUUGUGUGCCUGUUGAAUAACUUCUAUCCCAGAGAGGCCAGUGUAAAGUGGAAGUUGGAUGGUGUCGUCCAAACGGGUAACUCCCAGGAGAGUGUCACAGAGCAGGACAGCAAGGACAACACCUACAGCCUCAGCAGCACCCUGACGCUGAGCAGCACAGAGUACCAGCAACACAAAGUCUAUGCCUGCGAAGUCACCCAUGAGGGACUGAGCUCGCCCCUCACCAAGAGCUUCAACAAGGGAGAGUGUUAGAGGGAGAAGUGCCCCAGGCCCCCUACUUGCUCCUCAGCCCCAGCCUCACCCCCUCCCAUCCUUUGGCCUCUGGCCCGUUUCCCACAGGGGACCUACCCCUAUUUCAGCCCUCGAGCUCAUCUUUCACCUCCUCCUCCUCCUCCUCCUUGGCUUUAAUUAUGCUAAUAUUGGAGGAUAAUUAAUAAAUAAAGUGAAUCUUUGCACCUGU